UACGAAGGGGGCUAGCGUUGUUCGGAAUCACUGGGCGUAAAGCGCACGUAGGCGGAUUGUUAAGUCGGGGGUGAAAUCCUGAGGCUCAACCUCAGAACUGCCUCCGAUACUGGCAAUCUCGAGUUCGGAAGAGGUUGGUGGAACAGCUAGUGUAGAGGUGAAAUUCGUAGAUAUUAGCUAGAACACCAGUGGCGAAGGCGGCCAACUGGUCCGACACUGACGCUGAGGUGCGAAAGCGUGGGGAGCAAACAGGGA
This 255-nucleotide ribosomal RNA is filed under the name uncultured bacterium. Its description in RNAcentral is "partial 16S ribosomal RNA". It matches the Rfam family "Bacterial small subunit ribosomal RNA", at positions 524 to 778 of the family's 1533-position model. The record is from RNAcentral.